UGACCCCGUGCGGGAGAGUCCUUCGGAGAAAUCGUCCGGAGGCGCCGAAGGAGCAAAUCCUCCCCGGAAUCUCUCAGGCCCACGUACCGCACGGACGAG
RNAcentral lists this non-coding RNA (99 nucleotides) under Streptomyces rubrolavendulae. Its description in RNAcentral is "Glycine sequence". It matches the Rfam family "Glycine riboswitch aptamer". From Rfam's summary of the family: This family represents the bacterial glycine riboswitch. Glycine riboswitches usually consist of two metabolite-binding aptamers domains with similar structures in tandem. Lineage: Bacteria; Bacillati; Actinomycetota; Actinomycetes; Kitasatosporales; Streptomycetaceae. The record is from Rfam by way of RNAcentral.